This 576-nucleotide ribosomal RNA is filed under the name uncultured bacterium. Its description in RNAcentral is "bacterial SSU rRNA". It matches the Rfam family "Bacterial small subunit ribosomal RNA", at positions 564 to 1130 of the family's 1533-position model. The record is from RNAcentral.
AGGGUGUGCAGACGGUUUAUUAAGUUGCUUGUUUAAUUCUUCGGCCUAACCGAAGGCUCGCAAGCAAAACUGGUAGACUUGAGGAUGGAAGAGAGAAGUGGAAUUCUCGGAGUAGCGGUAAAAUGCGUAGAUCUCGAGAGGAACACCAAUGGCGAAGGCAGCUUCUUGGUCCAUUCCUGACGUUCAUACACGAAAGCGUGGGGAGCAAACAGGAUUAGAUACCCUGGUAGUCCACGCCGUAAACGAUGAUCACUAGACGUCAGUUUCGUUUAACGAAAUUGGUGUCGUAGCUAACGCGUUAAGUGAUCCGCCUGGGGACUACGGUCGCAAGACUAAAACUCAAAUGAAAUUGACGGGGGCCCGCACAAGCGGUGGAACAUGUGGUUUAAUUCGACACUACGCGAGGAACCUUACCUGGGCUUGACAUGCAUAUGACCGUCGUAGAAAUACGAUCUUCUAAGUUUACUUAGACAUUUGCACAGGUGCUGCAUGGCUGUCGUCAGCUCGUGUCGUGAGAUGGUUGGUUAAGUCCUCUAACGAGCGCAACCCUAUGCUGUCAGUUGCUAUCUAGUGAUA